This 568-nucleotide long non-coding RNA is filed under the name Homo sapiens (human). RNAcentral's name for it is "HSALNT0388914". Lineage: Eukaryota; Metazoa; Chordata; Mammalia; Primates; Hominidae. The record is from RNAcentral.
AUGCGCAGGCGCAGUGAACGGGCGCCGUUAUAAGGGGGCGGGGCACAAGGGGCGGGGAUCCACGCCGAGGCUCCACCCCUCCUUAGGGCAGGUAUGACCGAGAGCUGGGGCGGGAGCGUUGACCUGUCGGGUAAAGCCAGCCCUACCGCUCGACUCAGUUGCACGCGCAGGGAGUGUGUGUUCACUCUGACUCGGCCCGGCUCCCCGUCCCCGCCGAAGCGCAGAGGCGAAUGAGAGCUGAGUCCUGGGGAGCAGCGCUCCGACUCACGCCCUCAGCAAGCCGAGUGUUUAAAAUACAUUCAGCCACUAGAUGUCGCUGUGGCCCCACCGCGAGGACGCGGAGGGAGGCGCUGCAGAGCACGGGCGACGUGACCACAGCUGUCGGGGCUAACUCUGGAAUGCCGGGUGCUCGGAGGAGCCUCCCCAGCUGGGGCCAAGCAGCGUCCAAGCAGAGGAGGAAACAGAUUCAGAUGGCAAAGGCAGAAAACGGGACGUGCUACUUUACCAGCACAUCACUGGGGGUAGGAGAUGAGGUCAGAGAACUCGCCAGGCCCAGAUCACCCAGCGC